CCAGAAGACAGAUGAUUAACAUACUUGCUGCUGAGAUGACAGAAACACAUGGGACAUCCCCCCCCAAAAGUGUCAGAGUGAUGUAUGCACAGGGGAUAGUAGCUUUGUUUCCCUAUCUAGAAGACCCAUACUCACAGCAUGGAUAUGAACAUUACUACGAUCCGGAGAGUGGUUCGGGAUACCUUGCAUGGCGAUUGAAGACCAUACAAAGAAAAACAGCAGAGGAGAAAGG
Molecule: long non-coding RNA, 232 nt
Organism: Clarias gariepinus (North African catfish)
Lineage: Eukaryota; Metazoa; Chordata; Actinopteri; Siluriformes; Clariidae
Exons: 3
Source: RefSeq, a predicted model, not a curated record